AUUGAACGCUGGCGGCAUGCCUUACACAUGCAAGUCGAACGGUAACGGGCCUUCGGGUGCCGACGAGUGGCGAACGGGUGAGUAGUACAUCGGAACGUGCCCGAUCGUGGGGGAUAACGAGGCGAAAGCUUUGCUAAUACCGCAUACGAUCUACGGAUGAAAGCAGGGGACCGCAAGGCCUUGCGCGGACGGAGCGGCCGAUGGCAGAUUAGGUAGUUGGUGGGAUAAAAGCUUACCAAGCCGACGAUCUGUAGCUGGUCUGAGAGGAUGAUCAGCCACACUGGGACUGAGACACGGCCCAGACUCCUACGGGAGGCAGCAGUGGGGAAUUUUGGACAAUGGGCGCAAGCCUGAUCCAGCCAUGCCGCGUGCAGGAUGAAGGCCUUCGGGUUGUAAACUGCUUUUGUACGGAACGAAAAGCCUUCUUUUAAUACAGGAGGGUCAUGACGGUACCGUAAGAAUAAGCACCGGCUAACUACGU
Molecule: ribosomal RNA, 481 nt
Filed under: uncultured bacterium
Lineage: Bacteria
Description: partial 16S ribosomal RNA
Rfam family: Bacterial small subunit ribosomal RNA
Source: RNAcentral